UUCUCAGUUCUUCCUUUUGUAUACCCGGUAUAUCGACCGCAACCACCCCUCUGCUCACCUUUUCCCUCUAAUUUGAAUUUUUCUUUUCAAAUUUGUGCCUUAAUUAUCUUUAAUUACCUGAACCAUGUAGUCAUAGAUUCACAGCCCAUCUCUCGAUUUUAAUUCGGAACUCAAAUCGAUCUAAUUUAGUGGUUUUAGGUUGGAAUUUGCAGUUGAAAGAGAUUAAACAAGGACUUCAUUCGCUUUAAUCGAAAUGUUACAGAUAUUUCAUCUAACUGCCACUUUCUUUGCUUGCUUACGGGUUGUAUCAGUACAUGUUGUAUCCAUAAAUUCUCCGUUCUUACGCAAGUUCUUCCUGAAAAACGGUGUAAGGCUGAUUGUAGGCGGACAAUAUGAGAUAGACAUGAUUACAAAGAAGGCAAUGAAUCAGCGACAAAUUAAGAAAUGAGAAACAGAUACACAUGAAAGUCAACAUGCGUGUUUUGAUGAAGAUAUGACGAGUGGCCGAUCCCGCUUGGCUCAUCGAUUCGGCAACAUGCAAGGAUUAGUUGAUGCACGCGGUGGACUCAAUCUCAUGAUGACACACUCCAAUCCAAACAACUUAUGACGGGCGGACGGAUACUUGAAAAUGAUUUCCUACUUGUGCAAAUUGCAGUUGCACAAGCUUACUAUUAAAAUUUCGGUGGCAGCAAUUCAUGGUUCAAACCUGUAUCGAAACUACCCACAUGGGCCCAAGUCUAUGAACAAGAGUCCCGCAAUUUUCUGAAAAUUGAAGCAAAUAGAUACCAAGGUAAAAAAAGAAAGCAAUUUUACCUAGAUUUGUAAUGAAAGAGCUCACAUUUCGGGGAUCAAAACAGCAACGACAGUGUUAUUUAUCAUACCACCAACCUAGCUUUGUGCCGUUUGGGUAACGAGUCGGAUUGUUUGGUUAAAAGCAGCACCUACACUACUUCCACUUGGUUGCAGAAUCCAUAUCGGAUAAUUGACAAUUUGGCAAUACACGUGAAAAGUCAACCAUGUACAAACUUAAAAAUGAAAAGGCACAAAGAAUUUAAGAAUAUCACAGGAUUGAAAAGAUAUAUAAUGACGGCUUAAUUAUCAAUAUCAUAAGAUGAAAAAGAAUUUGUUAUAUGUUUCGUAUCCUUAUCAAACGUCAGGCAGCUAAUAGCGUG
Molecule: long non-coding RNA, 1172 nt
Organism: Papaver somniferum (opium poppy)
Lineage: Eukaryota; Viridiplantae; Streptophyta; Magnoliopsida; Ranunculales; Papaveraceae
Exons: 3
Source: RefSeq, a predicted model, not a curated record